AAUGGGAGGGUCUAGCGUGUAAUUAACCCCCCCACAGCAGAAGCACGCGGAUCCCAGGGGCAAUCGGGUCGGGUAGAAUUAGGUGGCCCUAUACGACGCCAUUUUGAAGCCAUUGCAAAGGGCUCUAAACGACGUCGUUUUAUGACGUAUAAAGGAAAAAAAUCCUAAAACCUAAACACUUAAAUCAUUCUUCAGAAAGAAAAAAAGAAAAAAAAAAACCAAAUGCCCUCUCAACCUUCCCAUUAUUCUCUCUAGCCCUCAGACUCCGACCUUGGGGACUGCCGAGCUCAUGUCAUUGAACACCAAUGACGGCGCAACCGUCUGUGGUGACCUUAAAGCCCGUUCUCGAGCCCUCUUGGAGAUGAAGUCUCCGACCUUCGCGAGGAGAGUGAGGAAAGAGAGAAAAAGGGACGGUUUCUCUGAAAAUCGGUGUGCCGUCGAACCCCGAAUCGGACCCCAAGGGGUCUUGGGCCUUGGCGCCGGAGAGUAAGGCCAACGGAGGAAGACAAAACGCCUUCGGAGUAGUUGGUAGUGGAGCAGGUGGCCACCAGUGGCAGUGACAAAGUCUCGGGGCUAGGUUUGGCGCCGAAUAGGCAAUAGGGGCUAGGUUUUUUUCUUAUUUUCUGAAAAUAUUAGGAAUGGGCUAGGUUUAUUUUUUUGGACUUGUAACUGGGUAGUGGGCUUAUUUUAAUUUAGUUUGGUUUUGAGUGUUGGGUUUAAGGAUUAUAAACGGGCCGGGCAAAUUGAGCUUAUAACAGAACUUAUCAAAUAUAGUAAAAAUAUUUAUUUUACAAAUAUUUUAAGGAAAA
Long non-coding RNA from Gossypium arboreum, 809 nucleotides. RefSeq lists it as uncharacterized. NCBI's taxonomy places the organism in Eukaryota, Viridiplantae, Streptophyta, Magnoliopsida, Malvales, Malvaceae. The record is from RefSeq and is a predicted model, not a curated record. The transcript is spliced from 2 exons.